This 1451-nucleotide ribosomal RNA is filed under the name Lampyridae sp. UPOL RK0095. RNAcentral describes it as "SSU rRNA". It matches the Rfam family "Eukaryotic small subunit ribosomal RNA", at positions 32 to 1408 of the family's 1831-position model. The record is from RNAcentral. Lineage: Eukaryota; Metazoa; Arthropoda; Insecta; Coleoptera; Lampyridae.
UUGUCUCAAAGAUUAAGCCAUGCAUGUCUCAGUACAUACCGAAUUAAGGUGAAACCGCGAAAGGCUCAUUAUAUCAGUUAUGGUUCAUUAGAUCGUACCUCACAUUUACUUGGAUAACUGUGGUAAUUCUAGAGCUAAUACAUGCAAACAGAACUCCGACCGGAGACGGAAGGAGCGCUUUUAUUAGAUCAAAACCGAUGGGCGUCGGCGGCCGGCGUUCGCGCCGCGUCGUCGUCGUCGCAUAGCUCUCACGAUGAAUCUGAAUAACUUUAUGCCGAUCGCACGGUCAAGCACCGGCGACGCAUCUUUCAAAUGUCUGCCUUAUCAACUUUCGAUGGUAGGUUAUGCGCCUACCAUGGUUGUAACGGGUAACGGGGAAUCAGGGUUCGAUUCCGGAGAGGGAGCCUGAGAAACGGCUACCACAUCCAAGGAAGGCAGCAGGCGCGCAAAUUACCCACUCCCGGCACGGGGAGGUAGUGACGAAAAAUAACGAUACGGGACUCAUCCGAGGCCCCGUGAUCGGAAUGAGCACACUUUAAAUCCUUUAACUAGGAUCAAUUGGAGGGCAAGUCUGGUGCCAGCAGCCGCGGUAAUUCCAGCUCCAAUAGCGUAUAUUAAAGUUGCUGCGGUUAAAAAGCUCGUAGUCGAAAUUGUGUCCCGGGCCGCCGGUUCGUCGCUCGCGACGUCAACUGGCGCGCACGCGGGACGUCCAGCCGGUGCUCGAACCCGCCGACGGUGCUCUUAACCGAGUGUCCAGGCGGGGGCCGGCAACGUUACUUUGAACAAAUUAAAGUGCUCAAAGCAGGCUAAACUGCGCUCGCAUAAUCAGUGCAUGGAAUAAUCGAAUAGGACCUCUGUUCUAUUUUGUUGGCUUUUGUAGAACAAACAGAGGUAAUGAUCAAUGGGUGCGGAUGGGGGCAUUCGUAUUGCGACGUUAGAGGUGAAAUUCUUGGAUCGUCGCAAGACGCACUAAAGCGAAAGCAUUUGCCAAAAACGCUUUCAUCGAUCAAGAACGAAAGUUAGAGGUUCGAAGGCGAUCAGAUACCGCCCUAGUUCUAACCAUAAACUAUGCCAGCCAGCGAUCCGCCGAAGUUACUACUAUGACUCGGCGGGCAGCUACCGGGAAACCAAAGCUUUUGGGUUCCGGGGGAAGUAUGGUUGCAAAGCUGAAACUUAAAGGAAUUGACGGAAGGGCACCACCAGGAGUGGAGCCUGCGGCUUAAUUUGACUCAACACGGGAAACCUCACCAGGCCCGGACACCGAAAGGAUUGACAGAUUGAGAGCUCUUUCUUGAUUCGGUGGGUGGUGGUGCAUGGCCGUUCUUAGUUGGUGGAGCGAUUUGUCUGGUUAAUUCCGAUAACGAACGAGACUCUGCCCUGCUAAAUAGGCGAUAAACACGACGGCGCCGCUAAGGCGUCCGUCGCGUAACAGACAUCUCGAAGGCCCGUCU